AUUGAACGCUGGCGGCAGGCCUAACACAUGCCAGUCGAGCGGAUGAAGGGAGAUUGCUCCUGUCUUCAGCGGCGGACGGGUGAGUAAUGACUAGGAAGCUGCCCUGUCGAGGGGGCUAACGUACGGAAACGGGCGCUAAUAUAGCAUACGUCCAGAGGGUGAAAGUGGGGGAUCAUCGGACCUAACGCUAUCUGCUGAGCCUAGGUCGGAUUAGCUAGUUGGUGAGGUAAAGGCCUACCAAGGCGACGAUCCGUGACUGGACUGAGUGGAUGACCAGUCAAACCGGGACUGAGACAAGGUCCAGACUCCUAAGGGAGGCCGCCGUUGGGAAUAUUUGAGCAUUGGCGGAAGGCCGAUCCGGCCAUGCCGCCGUGGUUGAUAAGGUCUUCGGAUUGGUAAACACUCUUAGUUGGGAGGAAAGGCAGGAAUUUAAUACCUUGCUGUUUUGACGGUACCAACAGAAGAAGGACCGGCUAACUUCGUG
RNAcentral lists this ribosomal RNA (484 nucleotides) under uncultured bacterium. RNAcentral describes it as "partial 16S ribosomal RNA". It matches the Rfam family "Bacterial small subunit ribosomal RNA", at positions 30 to 507 of the family's 1533-position model. The record is from RNAcentral.